AACGAACGUUGGCGGCGUGGAUUAGGCAUGCAAGUCGCACGAAUCUCAGACUGGUAGCAAUACCGGGCUGGGGAAAGUGGCGAAAGGGGCAGUAAGGCGUGGGUAACUUGCCCCGGAGUUCGGAAUAGCCGUUCUAACGAACGGGUAAUCCCGAAUGCCGUGCCGAGGGGGCCUCCCCUUGGCACGAAAGUUACGGCGCUCCGGGACGGGGCCCGACGUAGUAUUAGCUUGUUGGUGAGGUAACGGCUCACCAAGGCCAAGANGCUUA
This 268-nucleotide ribosomal RNA is filed under the name uncultured bacterium. RNAcentral's name for it is "partial 16S ribosomal RNA". It matches the Rfam family "Bacterial small subunit ribosomal RNA", at positions 29 to 285 of the family's 1533-position model. The record is from RNAcentral.